Molecule: long non-coding RNA, 588 nt
Filed under: Elaeis guineensis (African oil palm)
Lineage: Eukaryota; Viridiplantae; Streptophyta; Magnoliopsida; Arecales; Arecaceae
Description: long non-coding RNA (EGUI_LNC077468)
Source: RNAcentral
UUACUCACGUGUUGAGUUGUCAUUUGCCGAGCUUCUUUCGGCUUUUGCCUUGCUUGAUAUCGAUGUCAUUCGAAGGUACCCGAUCGCCGUCAUGUUGACCCAUCCUUUUGUUUAUGGCCACAGAUUUAUCCGGUGCCGCUCGAGUUUGAUGCCUCCUUUCAGAGUUCGGGCUCAGGGGUCUGAACUUCUCGUUGCCCUAAGGAAGCCGUCUUAUCCUUGGCCUGCAUUGAGAGCUCUCUUGGAGAUCGAAGAUUUUGAUAAGAACCCCAAUCCUCGCUGAGAUGAGGUUCCCUGUAUCUUUGAUGUAAUUUAUUUUUCAUUUAUCGCUGAUGUAGUUCAUUGCUUUCCUUUUUAACCUCCCCCCUUUUUCUUUUUCUUUUCUCGAGUGAGGGUUUUCCCUCUACUCUUAGUGGGGUCGCGGGAGCACGGAGGGGCCGUCGAGAAGGUUUCCUUUUUCUUAUCUGGUCUUGAAUGACCAGACCUUAGUUGGUGUCAGGAUGAGGUUCUUCCCCUAUUUCUGAUGUAAUCGGUUUCAGCUCAGGUUAGGAUGAGGUUCUCCUUCUGUUCCUAAUAGGGCUGCGGGGGCAC